RNAcentral lists this non-coding RNA (40 nucleotides) under Prorocentrum micans. The record is from RNAcentral. Lineage: Eukaryota; Dinophyceae; Prorocentrales; Prorocentraceae.
UUUUUUUUUUUUUUUUUUUUUUUUUUUUUUUUUUUCAAAU